CCUACGGGGGGCAGCAGUCGAGAAUCAUGCACAAUGGGGGAAACCCUGAUGGUGCGACGCCGCGUGGGGGAAUGAAGGUCUUCGGAUUGUAAACCCCUGUCAUGUGGGAGCAAAUUAAAAAGAUAGUACCACAAGAGGAAGAGACGGCUAACUCUGUGCCAGCAGCCGCGGUAAUACAGAGGUCUCAAGCGUUGUUCGGAAUCACUGGGCGUAACGCGUGCGUAGGCUGUUUCGUAAGUCGUGUGUGAAAGGCGCGGGCUCAACCCGCGGACGGCACAUGAUACUGCGAGACUAGAGUAAUGGAGGGGGAACCGGAAUUCUCGGUGUAGCAGUGAAAUGCGUAGAUAUCGAGAGGAACACUCGUGGCGAAGGCGGGUUCCUGGACAUUAACUGACGCUGAGGCACGAAGGCCAGGGGAGCGAAAGGGAUUAGAUACCCUAGUAGUC
This 446-nucleotide ribosomal RNA is filed under the name uncultured bacterium. RNAcentral's name for it is "partial 16S ribosomal RNA". It matches the Rfam family "Bacterial small subunit ribosomal RNA", at positions 338 to 795 of the family's 1533-position model. The record is from RNAcentral.